ACACAUGCAAGUCGAGGGGCAGCAUCAUCAAUGCUUGCUUUGAUGGAUGGCGACCGGCGCACGGGUGAGUAACACGUAUCCAACCUGCCGACAACACUGGGAUAGCCUUUCGAAAGAAAGAUUAAUACCGGAUGGCAUAAUUAUUCCGCAUGGGAUAAUUAUUAAAGAAUUUCGGUUGUCGAUGGGGAUGCGUUCCAUUAGGCAGUUGGCGGGGUAACGGCCCACCAAACCUACGAUGGAUAGGGGUUCUGAGAGGAAGGUCCCCCACAUUGGAACUGAGACACGGUCCAAACUCCUACGGGAGGCAGCAGUGAGGAAUAUUGGUCAAUGGACGAGAGUCUGAACCAGCCAAGUAGCGUGAAGGAUGACUGCCCUAUGGGUUGUAAACUUCUUUUAUACGGGAAUAAAGUGAGCCACGUGUGGCUUUUUGUAUGUACCGUAUGAAUAAGGAUCGGCUAACUCCGUGCCAGCAGCCGCGGUAAUACGGAGGAUCCGAGCGUUAUCCGGAUUUAUUGGGUUUAAAGGGAGCGUAGGCGGGUUGUUAAGUCAGUUGUGAAAGUUUGCGGCUCAACCGUAAAAUUGCAGUUGAUACUGGCGACCUUGAGUGCAACAGAGGUAGGCGGAAUUCGUGGUGUAGCGGUGAAAUGCUUAGAUAUCACGAAGAACUCCGAUUGCGAAGGCAGCUUACUGGAUUGUAACUGACGCUGAUGCUCGAAAGUGUGGGUAUCAAACAGGAUUAGAUACCCUGGUAGUCCACACAGUAAACGAUGAAUACUCGCUGUUGGCGAUAUACAGUCAGCGGCCAAGCGAAAGCAUUAAGUAUUCCACCUGGGGAGUACGCCGGCAACGGUGAAACUCAAGGGAAUUGACGGGGGCCCGCACAAGCGGAGGAACAUGUGGUUUAAUUCGAUGAUACGCGAGGAACCUUACCCGGGCUUAAAUUGCAACUGACGGAACCGGAAACGGUUCUUUCUUCGGACAGUUGUGAAGGUGCUGCAUGGUUGUCGUCAGCUCGUGCCGUGAGGUGUCGGCUUAAGUGCCAUAACGAGCGCAACCCUUACGGGUAGUUACCAUCAGGUUAUGCUGGGGACUCUACCCGGACUGCCGUCGUAAGAUGUGAGGAAGGUGGGGAUGACGUCAAAUCAGCACGGCCCUUACGUCCGGGGCUACACACGUGUUACAAUGGGGGGUACAGAAGGCAGCUACACGGCGACGUGGUGCUAAUCCCAAAAGCCUCUCUCAGUUCGGAUUGGAGUCUGCAACCCGACUCCAUGAAGCUGGAUUCGCUAGUAAUCGCGCAUCAGCCACGGCGCGGUGAAUACGUUCCCGGGCCUUGUACACACCGCCCGUCAAGCCAUGAAAGCCGGGGGUACCUGAAGUACGUAACCAAGAGGAGCGUCCUAGGGUAAAACUGGUGAUUGGGGCUC
RNAcentral lists this ribosomal RNA (1427 nucleotides) under uncultured organism. Its description in RNAcentral is "SSU rRNA". It matches the Rfam family "Bacterial small subunit ribosomal RNA". The record is from RNAcentral.